UUCUAGAUUGAAGAAAUGCAACGCUGUCUGACUGGCGGUUAGGGAACAACCGAACGAAGCUAUCUUUCGGAAGUGUAAUCGUCUGAAAGAUUCAUUGUAGACCCAAUCUUCAAACUCCUAACAUGUUGAAAUCUUAUGUGCCAGGUAAUGGACAAGUGCAGUGGGUUGGAGGAAUAAGGGUUGUGGUGCCUUGAAGAUGACAUAUUUAAAAGGUUGAUUCCUGACCUCACUUGGCUUUGCACUGGCUGGUUGUAUCCUCCAGGAUUCACUGCUUUAAUGUUAUCGAGGAAUUAAGAGAAGAUUCCAUGACAAGACAUUUCUUGGAGGAUGGAUGUUGACUGUUACGGCUGUGGAGGAGGCAGUGGGCGUGCAUUACACCAGAUGAGAUCCAAUUAUUAAGGUGUUGGCGAUUCUUAAGGUUGUUAUGUUUAAUAACCGCAGUCGGUUGUUGAGCUAAUGUGCCAGGAACAAUGGAGUUUCAUUUUCUUUCGUUUCGAGAAGUUUGCUGCUGGUGAUUUCAUGAUUUACGUAGUAGAUUAUGUGGCAUUGCUUCUUGGUCAACGUCAUCGGGAUCGGAGGAGUUCAUAUUAUACAAGGUACAUAUGUAUGGGGGACGUUGGAUUUAAUUAUGUCGGCCUAGGGAAUUAAAAGUAAUUAAAAAUACCUUGAUUGUAAAUUUAUGAUCAUGUUUCCUGUGUUUCUUAUAAUUAUGAAGACCUACCCUAGUCCCUGAUGGUUGUCAAUUUACGAUCCGUUGUUAUACGUCCGUGAAAUGGUAUGGAAUUCUGAAACUUUCUAAAGAAUGUCGCAGUGUUGAAGGUAGUUGGAUUUGGAGUGAAGUAUUUAGGGAAGUCUUGAUGAAGAAUUAUGGACAAAAAUGACAAGUGGAAAAUUAAUUAUGGGGGAAAUAUUAAAUACUAUACUUUAUUAAAUAAAAGUGUAUAGUAAUAUCAUAUUUUAAUUCGUGUAUCUUUUCUAGUUGCAUUACACAAUGUAUGUAAUCCAUGUA
Long non-coding RNA from Daphnia pulex (common water flea), 1009 nucleotides. RefSeq lists it as uncharacterized. The record is from RefSeq and is a predicted model, not a curated record. Lineage: Eukaryota; Metazoa; Arthropoda; Branchiopoda; Diplostraca; Daphniidae. The transcript is spliced from 10 exons.